UACGUAGGGUGCGAGCGUUAAUCGGAAUUACUGGGCGUAAAGCGUGCGCAGGCGGUUCGUUGUGUCGGCGGUGAAAGCCCCGGGCUUAACCCUGGGAAUGGCCGUUGAAACUGGCGAACUGGAGUGUGGCAGAGGGGGGUGGAAUUCCGCGUGUAGCAGUGAAAUGCGCAGAUAUCAGGAGGAACACCGGUGGCGAAGGCGGGACGUCGUGGGC
RNAcentral lists this ribosomal RNA (214 nucleotides) under uncultured bacterium. RNAcentral's name for it is "partial 16S ribosomal RNA". It matches the Rfam family "Bacterial small subunit ribosomal RNA", at positions 524 to 734 of the family's 1533-position model. The record is from RNAcentral.